GAUCAUGGCUCAGGACGAACGCUGGCGGCGUGCUUAACACAUGCAAGUCGAACGGAAAGGCCCUGCUUUUGUGGGGUGCUCGAGUGGCGAACGGGUGAGUAACACGUGAGUAACCUGCCCUUGACUUUGGGGAUAACGUUCAGGAAACUGGGGCUAAUACCGGAUAGGAGCUCCUGCUGCAUGGUGGGGUUGGAAAGUUUCGGCGGUUGGGGAUGGACUCGCGGCUUAUCAGCUUGUUGGUGGGGUAGUGGCUU
Molecule: ribosomal RNA, 254 nt
Filed under: uncultured bacterium
Lineage: Bacteria
Description: partial 16S ribosomal RNA
Rfam family: Bacterial small subunit ribosomal RNA
Source: RNAcentral